This is a long non-coding RNA of Cyprinus carpio (common carp), 948 nucleotides long. RefSeq lists it as uncharacterized. NCBI's taxonomy places the organism in Eukaryota, Metazoa, Chordata, Actinopteri, Cypriniformes, Cyprinidae. The transcript is spliced from 3 exons. The record is from RefSeq and is a predicted model, not a curated record.
UGAUGGUUAACAUUUUAGUCAUUUUAACUGAAAUACUCCUAAUUCUUUUUCUCACAGAUCUACUAACAUGGUGUCAAGUUGCAGAGAUUUUACCAAAUCAGAUAACAGAUUUGGGUCAAAGUGUGACCAUAAACUGUGGACUUGACUUAAAGGAGGUGACAUGGUUUGUACUAAAUUUACCAGAUCCUCCGGUUCUGAUAUUACGCUCCUUUUCAAACCCACCAGCAACAUUUUACUUCAAUAAUAGAUUCAGACAGAAAUAUUCAGUGCAGCCUAAACAUAAUCUGUUCUUAAAUAAUGUCAGUAUUGAUGAGUUAGGAGUUUAUUACUGUACAAACAUAGACAGAACUGCACAAUUCAGCAACGGCAUCAGACUUGAUCGGACCACACGGAUCCUUGUCCCAACUCAACCUUCAGAGUGUCAGAAUCACACUGUAGUGGUGCAGCCUACACAGCCGACAUUGUGGCAGACUGUUACUGUCAUAUUUGGUCUGAUCAGUGUUGUUCUGCUAUUUGGGUUCAAAGCAUUCUUAGGCCUAUGUAAGCUUUUUGCUGGUCGCAGUAACAAACACCCACAACAACGAAGAAACUGACCUUCUGCAGCUUCAACUGAUAGAUCCUGAAUACGUUGACCUGAUGUCUCUUUUUCACAAGGUGUGUCCCAGUGUCCAGACAACUGGCAAAAAAUGAUAUUAUGACCCAGUUUCAUCUAUAAGGGUCACUGAGCUUAAUUUACAUAGAACAGAAGCCCAACAUAAAUUUUAGAAUAUAGCCAUUAUUUCAUGUUGUUUAAUAGCAUACUUUGUAAAAGAUUGUAUAAACGUGUUUGUAAUGCAUUUUCAACCAGACAUGUUCAUUGUUAUGUUAUCGCAGCAAAAAUAAAUUCAGAUAUGCUUUUACAGGAAAUUACUUUGUAAUCUGGUCACCAAGACAGCUUUGUGUGUGUGA